GAACAAUGCUUGUAUUAUUUGUACUCAAUUCGAUGAAGAUAAGCUUACAUACUUCUAUACCUGCAUGAUUCACAUUAUAAUAUUGGUUUUUUCAUAUAAAUUCGUGUGUCAUACGAUUCUGUUUCAUUUGAAGUGAACUGUUGAAGGAUUUCAUAAGAUAAAUCAAUCAUGAGGGCCUCUAUGAUUUUCUGUUUGAUGCUGGUUUUCAUUCUAUUCUCUGCAUGUCAAGCCUUUCCCGAUUUGGUUCCAGAUCAGCAUAAAAACAAAAAUUGCGAAUGCAUAUUUCGCCAUGCCUGCCAAGGAGAAAUAAAUUCAGACGUCUACUGCCCUGGAAGUUACAUUUUCGGAUGCUGUAUUCAGUGAAUUGAGCGCACUGAUUCACUGAUCACAUAAGCAAAAG
Long non-coding RNA from Harmonia axyridis, 400 nucleotides. RefSeq lists it as uncharacterized. The transcript has 3 exons. The record is from RefSeq and is a predicted model, not a curated record. NCBI's taxonomy places the organism in Eukaryota, Metazoa, Arthropoda, Insecta, Coleoptera, Coccinellidae.